This 254-nucleotide ribosomal RNA is filed under the name uncultured bacterium. RNAcentral describes it as "partial 16S ribosomal RNA". It matches the Rfam family "Bacterial small subunit ribosomal RNA", at positions 524 to 776 of the family's 1533-position model. The record is from RNAcentral.
UACGUAGGAGGCGAGCGUUGUCCGGAAUUACUGGGCGUAAAGCGCGCGCAGGCGGCCGCGCAGGUCGCGCCGUGAAAGCGCCCGGCUCAACCGGGCGUCGGCGGGCGAAACCGCGCGGCUGGAGGGCGGUAGAGGGCGGUGGAAUUCCGGGUGUAGUGGUGAAAUGCGUAGAGAUCCGGAGGAACACCCGCGGCGAAGGCGGCCGCCUGGGCCGGCCCUGACGCUGAGGCGCGAAGGCCGGGGGAGCGAACGGG